CGUUUAGGGGUAAACUAAGAACCCGAAGGUCGAAGGAAGAAAUUCAUUCGUGUUUCGUCAUUUGACAUGUAUGUUUAUAAUUGGCAAUGUUUGAUAUGGGUUGUGAUUUAUUUUACAACACCAGAUUUGAAUAUUGCAUAUAUCGUAUGUGUAUCAUUUGAUGAACGCGUGCAUUUUUCUUCUGGUAGGACGUUGCGAUCCGUUAGUAUAUCGAUCUAUGUUUUACGGUAUAGUUCAUUGGUGCAUAUGUAAUAUAUAUUAUAUAUGAUAAUAUUGAUGAUGCCGUAAAUACUGAUCGAUUUGAUUGACGGUAUAAAAUAUGGUUAAGAGUCGCUUAAUUUUUUUAGCGUUAGAGGCUAAACAAGUGUAAAAAUUUGUGAAAAUUACUUUAUUAUUAUUUUUCGAAAUGAUGAUAGAGUAUAUUCGGUAAUCGAUAUUUAUAUCAAUUCCGAGCCGUUUUUACACUAUUAGUUUGGCAUUAUUAUCUCUGACUGACUUAAUUAUUAUUUAAUAAAACCAAUCUGCAACGCUAUAGCUUUGGGUACUUUUAGGACCCGUCUUGAAACACGGACCAAGGAGUCUAGCAUGUACGCAAGCCAUUGGGAUUAUAAAAACCUAUAGGCAUAAUGAAAGUAAAAAUAUUAUAUUUUUUUUAUAUAAUAAAGGAAGAUGACUAAUAAUUUUGUAUUUAACAAAUUAUUAUUUCGCAUUCCUGGGGCGUUUAAAUUUUAUUUUUUUGUUUACAAUUAAAUGAGAUUAUGCGCACCAAGAGUGUACACGCUGGGACCCGAAAGAUGGUGAACUAUGCCUGGUCAGGACGAAGUCAGGGGAAACCCUGAUGGAGGUCCGUAGCGAUUCUGACGUGCAAAUCGAUCGUCGGAACUGGGUAUAGGGGCGAAAGACUAAUCGAACCAUC
This 916-nucleotide ribosomal RNA is filed under the name Crossotarsus sauteri. Its description in RNAcentral is "partial 28S large subunit ribosomal RNA". The stretch from base 571 to 916 matches the Rfam family "Eukaryotic large subunit ribosomal RNA", at positions 665 to 944 of the family's 3401-position model. Lineage: Eukaryota; Metazoa; Arthropoda; Insecta; Coleoptera; Curculionidae. The record is from RNAcentral.